UGCGUAGGCGGUUUGAUAAGUCGAUUGUGAAAGCCCCGGGCUCAACCUGGGAAUUGCGGUCGAUACUGUCAGACUCGAAAACGGUAGAGGGAGGCGGAACUCCAGGUGUAGCGGUGAAAUGCGUAGAUAUCUGGAAGAACACCGAUGGCGAAGGCAACCUCCUGGGCCUGUUUUGACGCUGAGGCACGAAAGCGUGGGUAGCAAACA
RNAcentral lists this ribosomal RNA (207 nucleotides) under uncultured bacterium. Its description in RNAcentral is "partial 16S ribosomal RNA". It matches the Rfam family "Bacterial small subunit ribosomal RNA", at positions 568 to 774 of the family's 1533-position model. The record is from RNAcentral.